UACGGGGGGGGCAAGCGUUGUUCGGAAUUACUGGGCGUAAAGGGUUCGUAGGUGGCUUGCUCAGUCAGACGUGAAAUCCCUCAGCUUAACUGGGGAACUGCGUCUGAUACUAGCGAGCUUGAGUGCAGGAGAGGAACGCGGAAUUCCAGGUGUAGCGGUGAAAUGCGUAGAUAUCAGGAGGAAUACCGGUGGUGUAGACGGCUCUCUGGACCGCCACUGACGCUGAGACACGAAAGCGUGGGUAGCAAACAGG
RNAcentral lists this ribosomal RNA (253 nucleotides) under uncultured bacterium. RNAcentral's name for it is "partial 16S ribosomal RNA". It matches the Rfam family "Bacterial small subunit ribosomal RNA", at positions 524 to 776 of the family's 1533-position model. The record is from RNAcentral.